GCCAUCCUUUCCUUGGGGUUGCGCUACUGUCCAAGGAGCACACAGUGAGGGCAGCACUGCUAACACCUCCACAACACACUCCGGUCAACUAGAGCUUUGCUUUAUAUUGGUGAAAUUUUGGGAAAG
Otolemur garnettii (small-eared galago) is the source of this 126-nucleotide small nuclear RNA. Lineage: Eukaryota; Metazoa; Chordata; Mammalia; Primates; Galagidae. The record is from Ensembl.